Molecule: long non-coding RNA, 3713 nt
Organism: Cygnus olor (mute swan)
Lineage: Eukaryota; Metazoa; Chordata; Aves; Anseriformes; Anatidae
Exons: 7
Source: RefSeq, a predicted model, not a curated record
GCACCUUCUAUAGUUUAGUAGAAAAUACCAACUUAGCUUGCUUUAGUUGUAAGUCUGUAUGAGGCGUGUGACGAUAGUGCUGCAUCUGGAGUACCAGUACGAGAACAGAAUUCCCCCCACCUUCACUUACAGUCUCCAGUCCUUUUACUUAGAGACUCUGGAGCUCUGAAAGAUAAACAGAACAAUCAAUUGAGAAACCUGUCGCCAUAGAAAACAAGCAAUGAAACAAUAACAUGCAGAAAUGAAAACCAAAACCAAAACAAAACCCACCACCAACAACAAAAAAACACCUUAAAUGUAGGAACUUCAGAGGGAGACAAGGACAUGCUCAGCACCUUGAGGACUGGUCUUGAAGAGAGCAAUCAAGCAGGCUUGGUGUGCAUCAGCAAGAGAAGAGCUGGGGAACUGAUUUCUGCCAACAACAGAAAGUGUGUUUGAGGACUUCUCCCAUGGCUCUUCCACUGAUGCUGUAUCUGAGUGUCUACAGAGGAGUAUUUGGGAUGAGGACAGUUGGAGGUGGGAGUAUGAGUGGGCUGCUUGGGGUAUUUUGGUACAUUUAAUUGGUUGUUAAAUGGUUAAUGAAGUCAGGGUUAACAUCAUACAAUGUCCCUAAAGGCAAUGAGGAACUACUCAUUUUCUGCCCCUGAAAGGAGGAUGAACCAUUACUAUAAAAUUCAAGGUCUUUCAUACAAGCAUGAGCAAUUAACGUUAAUCAUUCAAAAUCUCACGUGCUCAUGAUCACACUGAUGCAUCCUUGUUCCUUAUGUAUGUGCUGACAAGGAAUUAGAUAUUCAUCAUCAGCAAAUAAAACUGAGAGGAAUGAAUGGGGUUUCCAAGGAGCUGCCUCUUCAAGGUGUUGCAUCUUCAGGCUGAGAUACAAAUACCAGCUUUUUAUAAUGCAGAUCACAAUAUAGCUCCUAAUUUUCCAUCCGAGAUGCUUAAAUGCUUCCUGCUGUCUUAGUCAUUAAUAAAAUAAAUUAACUUUACCUAUAAAUAAAUUUAAAAGUUUAAAUCUUAAUGAGGUCAUAGAGAUGGAAAUAAAGGAGUUAUAUGUAUCCAUAAACCUGGGGACUGUUGUGCACUUAUAGCAAUACAGGUUUUCAUGCUCCAAAAAGUAAGAAUCAUCUUCUUUCUCUGAGAGUUGAAGUUCAGGACUAGAACUGUCUACCCAAAUCAUGAUGGCAUGCUUGUGUAUGACCUCUUCCAAAUUUCUUCCUAGUCUAUGUGUGAGUGUCCAGGCUAAUCCUUGGUUACAAACUGCUUUUGAGUUGUUUGAGGGAUCCCCCAAAGUUCCAUGCAUUGCUGUCAGGACUUUAGCCAGGCUGAAAUAACAUGAACGUUUUUCCUUUUCUGGUUUUCUAGAAAAAUUAAUCUUCGACCUUUCUUGGCCCAGUUCAUUUUAGUAAAGGAUCUGCACACUGAGCUAUGAAUUUCAUUUUGCAAUGAAAAAGAAAAAUGAAAGAGUGGCAGCACUGAUUCCUGUUGAAAAACAAAAGCACCCUACUUGUGGCUGCUCCUUUGGAUUUAUUCCUCCAAGGAGCAAAUAAUUCCAUGUGGAUGCCAUUGCAGCUUCAUUUUUGUUUUAAGAGAAGACAAAGGAUUUUGCUACAGAGAUGAUACUUUGACAAUAGACAAUAAAUGAGAUCUUGAUCCCAUCUGAAAAGUGACAACCUUUUCUCUUCUGCUAAAGCUUGACUCCCUUCUAUUUGUAGAAUAAAUGUGUCAUGGGGCAGUGGUGCAGCUGUUAGUUAUUUGGGUGUUGAAAUUUCAGGGGUGGUCAAAAAAUGGAGAGAAAAAUUGGGAAUGAGAGUCCAGAGGCAUUGUGCUUGAGAGAUAACUGUAAGAGAUGGAUUUAUUUUGGAAGAUGGUGUCUCGCUUUAGAAAUGAACCUGUCCACCUGAAGAAAAUGUUCCUUCUAAAAAUAAUAGACCUAGUGUGUCUUUUGAAUGUACCUUCCUCCAAAAUGACAAAGCAGCCCAUGGAAAGCAAUGUUUCUGUUUCCAUUGAAUUGGUUCUCUGUAGUGUUUUUUUUCCAUCUGCACAGAGCUGGAGGAGACUCCUGCUACCAUGUCCCUUCUCACAGGUGUUCCUCAGCAUAGGAAGAUUUCAUUUUAAAAGGCAAAUCCCUCCAAACAAUCCUCCCCCAGGUAAAACAGAAACUCUUUUUGUUAAAUUGCCUUUCAUGCGAUGUCAGCCAGUGACUGCAGAGGCUAGCAGAGCCUUGCCUUUUCUCCUCUGUUAUGCUGUGGAAUUGUGAAAGGUUAAACAUCUGCAUGUCUUUGGUGUAAUUAGAAAGUGAUGGGACAAUGUCUUCUCCCUCCGCUGGACCUCUCUUCCUACCAGCUGCCAGUGAGCCUCCCUGCAUGGCUCAGCCAAACCCCAGACAGGGAGAAGGGGCAAAAAAUGUAUGAAGCCUAUUAAUUACCAUAUGUAUAAAGGAAAGUUUACUGCUCUGUGCUCAGUCCCAAGGACACAUUGGGAAUCUCCACUGGUCUGAAUCAGACACAGUUCAUCUGAUUCGAGUGCUUAGUGCCAGGGAUUAAAGAAUGUGAGCUGAGCCGGGGCAGAUGAACGUGCAUGUGAAGCUCAGAGCUGGGUGGAUUAGGGGCAAUUGGAUCAGUAUGACCAGGCCACUGAGAUGCAACAGUGGUCCAGACGGCAGGGUCUUUCAGUCAAAAAGAAGGGAUGAAAAUAUUUCUAGCAACAUCAGCUGGGUGUUUUGUCUUGGAAGAGAAUCUCCAAGGGGCUGAAAGUGGAGAUAGAGCCCUUUGUGCUGAGGACAUAAGGGUCUGAAUGCAUCUUUAUCCAUUGCUUUUAAUAAAGUAGUUUGAGAGAGAUUCAGGAAGUAGAAGACACAUAAUGCAUGAAUAGAUAUGACAAUGAUAUAAUGUUUUUUCUUUUUUUCCUUUUUUUUUUUUUUUUAUUUCUGGAGGCUACCAUAAAUUUCAUGCCAGAGGAAGGGACCAGGGAGAAUGAUGCAAUGCUGCACAGUGAAAUAAACAAACAAAAACUGCGACAGUGGCAGCUUUUCAACCCCAUUUUGUAUCUGUAAUGUGUUUAUGAUCCAGCUUUGCUCAGGGAAAUGCAGGGAUCAAUUCCACUUUUUUUUUUUGUGCUCCAUUAUUCUUUGAUUUUCCUGCACCAACACAGGAAUGUCAUUCUUCAGCUUUGUAAAGUAGAAAUUACUUUCUUCCUCACAGAGCGCUGUUAAACCCAGAGAUGGGAAUUAUGCAGUAUAGGAUCUAUCCCAUUCUUUAGCAAAUGUAAUUUAAAAAUCUAAUCAACUGUUGACCUGGUUUGUUCGCAUUAAGCUUUGACAAAACAUUUUGUAGGCUAAAUGCAAUGCUGUUGAGAGAUCACGAAUGUGCAGAAGGUUGUUGAAUUGAGGUUUGGAUCUCUGAUACAAACGUUGCACUAAAAUUAAUGUUUGGCUGAGAUGCAGGCUCAGACAGGGUUUUUGAGGAUGAAUUUUGUAGCGCUCAGGUUUUGAGAAAUGUGAAAGAGUUCGUUUUUUUUUUUCUUUUUUCUCUUAUUUUUCUCCAGUCAGCCCCUUGCGUGAGUUGCUUUGAUGAAACUUGGCAGAUACAUAAAACUUGCAGAGAUCUCUUUCCUGAUAUUCUAUGUCACAGGGCAUUGUCACAGUGUCAGUAAAGAACAGAGCUUGUAGAGGCUACAAAUAUGGAAAGGGGUUGUGUGUUUCUUUUUCCGUGUCU